UGGCGGACGGGUGAGUAAUGUCUGGGAAACUGCCUGAUGGAGGGGGAUAACUACUGGAAACGGUAGCUAAUACCGCAUAACGUCGCAAGACCAAAGAGGGGGACCUUCGGGCCUCUUGCCAUCGGAUGUGCCCAGAUGGGAUUAGCUAGUAGGUGGGGUAACGGCUCACCUAGGCGACGAUCCCUAGCUGGUCUGAGAGGAUGACCAGCCACACUGGAACUGAGACACGGUCCAGACUCCUACGGGAGCAGCAUG
RNAcentral lists this ribosomal RNA (255 nucleotides) under uncultured bacterium. RNAcentral's name for it is "partial 16S ribosomal RNA". It matches the Rfam family "Bacterial small subunit ribosomal RNA", at positions 96 to 353 of the family's 1533-position model. The record is from RNAcentral.